RNAcentral lists this ribosomal RNA (591 nucleotides) under uncultured bacterium. RNAcentral's name for it is "bacterial SSU rRNA". It matches the Rfam family "Bacterial small subunit ribosomal RNA", at positions 334 to 916 of the family's 1533-position model. The record is from RNAcentral.
UACUCCUACGGGAGGCAGCAGUAGGGAAUCUUCGGCAAUGGACGGAAGUCUGACCGAGCAACGCCGCGUGAGUGAAGAAGGUUUUCGGAUCGUAAAGCUCUGUUGUAAGAGAAGAACGAGUGUGAGAGUGGAAAGUUCACACUGUGACGGUAUCUUACCAGAAAGGGACGGCUAACUACGUGCCAGCAGCCGCGGUAAUACGUAGGUCCCGAGCGUUGUCCGGAUUUAUUGGGCGUAAAGCGAGCGCAGGCGGUUAGAUAAGUCUGAAGUUAAAGGCUGUGGCUUAACCAUAGUACGCUUUGGAAACUGUUUAACUUGAGUGCAAGAGGGGAGAGUGGAAUUCCAUGUGUAGCGGUGAAAUGCGUAGAUAUAUGGAGGAACACCGGUGGCGAAAGCGGCUCUCUGGCUUGUAACUGACGCUGAGGCUCGAAAGCGUGGGGAGCAAACAGGAUUAGAUACCCUGGUAGUCCACGCCGUAAACGAUGAGUGCUAGGUGUUAGACCCUUUCCGGGGUUUAGUGCCGUAGCUAACGCAUUAAGCACUCCGCCUGGGGAGUACGACCGCAAGGUUGAAACUCAAAGGAAUUGACGG